RNAcentral lists this ribosomal RNA (616 nucleotides) under uncultured Legionella sp. Its description in RNAcentral is "bacterial SSU rRNA". It matches the Rfam family "Bacterial small subunit ribosomal RNA", at positions 242 to 849 of the family's 1533-position model. Lineage: Bacteria; Pseudomonadati; Pseudomonadota; Gammaproteobacteria; Legionellales; Legionellaceae. The record is from RNAcentral.
UAGCUAGUUGGUAGGGUAAGAGCCUACCAAGGCGACGAUCGGUAGCUGGUCUGAGAGGAUGGCCAGCCACACUGGAACUGAGACACGGUCCAGACUCCUACGGGAGGCAGCAGUGGGGAAUAUUGGACAAUGGGGGCAACCCUGAUCCAGCAAUGCCGCGUGUGUGAAGAAGGCCUGAGGGUUGUAAAGCACUUUCAGUGGGGAGGAGGGUAUUUAGGUUAAGAGCUAGGAUACUGGACGUUACCCACAGAAGAAGCACCGGCUAACUCCGUGCCAGCAGCCGCGGUAAUACGGGGGGUGCGAGCGUUAAUCGGAAUAACUGGGCGUAAAGGGUGCGUAGGUGGUUAGAUAAGUUAUCUGUGAAAUCCCCGGGCUCAACCUGGGCAGGUCAGAUAAGACUGUUCGACUCGAGUAUAGGAGAGGGUAGUGGAAUUUCCGGUGUAGCGGUGAAAUGCGUAGAGAUCGGAAGGAACACCAGUGGCGAAGGCGGCUACCUGGCCUGAUACUGACACUGAGGCACGAAAGCGUGGGGAGCAAACAGGAUUAGAUACCCUGGUAGUCCACGCUGUAAACGAUGUCAACUAGCCGUUGGUUAUAUGAAUAUAAUGAGUGGCGA